AUUGAACGCUGGCGGCAGGCUUAACACAUGCAAGUCGAGCGGGGUGAUGGUGCUUGCACUAUCACUUAGCGGCGGACGGGUGAGUAAUGUUUAGGAAUCUGCCUAUUAGUGGGGGACAACAUCUCGAAAGGGAUGCUAAUACCGCAUACGUCCUACGGGAGAAAGCAGGGGAUCACUUGUGACCUUGCGCUAAUAGAUGAGCCUAAGUCGGAUUAGCUAGUUGGUGGGGUAAAGGCCUACCAAGGCGACGAUCUGUAGCGGGUCUGAGGGGAUGAUCCGCCACACGUGGACUGAGACACGGCCCAGACUCCUACGGGAGGCAGCAGUGGGGAAUAUUGGACAAUGGGGGGAACCCUGAUCCAGCCAUGCCGCGUGUGUGAAGAAGGCCUUAUGGUUGUAAAGCACUUUAAGCGAGGAGGAGGCUCUUUUGGUUAAUACCCAAGAUGAGUGGACGUUACUCGCAGAAUAAGCACCGGCUAACUCUGUGCCAGCCGCCGCCGUAA
RNAcentral lists this ribosomal RNA (503 nucleotides) under uncultured bacterium. RNAcentral's name for it is "partial 16S ribosomal RNA". It matches the Rfam family "Bacterial small subunit ribosomal RNA", at positions 30 to 523 of the family's 1533-position model. The record is from RNAcentral.